This 498-nucleotide ribosomal RNA is filed under the name Salmonella enterica. RNAcentral's name for it is "bacterial SSU rRNA". It matches the Rfam family "Bacterial small subunit ribosomal RNA", at positions 1 to 488 of the family's 1533-position model. Lineage: Bacteria; Pseudomonadati; Pseudomonadota; Gammaproteobacteria; Enterobacterales; Enterobacteriaceae. The record is from RNAcentral.
AAAUUGAAGAGUUUGAUCAUGGCUCAGAUUGAACGCUGGCGGCAGGCCUAACACAUGCAAGUCGAACGGUAACAGGAAGCAGCUUGCUGCUUUGCUGACGAGUGGCGGACGGGUGAGUAAUGUCUGGGAAACUGCCUGAUGGAGGGGGAUAACUACUGGAAACGGUGGCUAAUACCGCAUAACGUCGCAAGACCAAAGAGGGGGACCUUCGGGCCUCUUGCCAUCAGAUGUGCCCAGAUGGGAUUAGCUUGUUGGUGAGGUAACGGCUCACCAAGGCGACGAUCCCUAGCUGGUCUGAGAGGAUGACCAGCCACACUGGAACUGAGACACGGUCCAGACUCCUACGGGAGGCAGCAGUGGGGAAUAUUGCACAAUGGGCGCAAGCCUGAUGCAGCCAUGCCGCGUGUAUGAAGAAGGCCUUCGGGUUGUAAAGUACUUUCAGCGGGGAGGAAGGUGUUGUGGUUAAUAACCGCAGCAAUUGACGUUACCCGCAGAAGA